ACCCUGAAGGAUUAGCUCAGGAUUAGAUCAUGAGACUCUUAAUUUCAGGAUUGUGGGUUUGAGCCCCAUUUUGGAUG
Podarcis lilfordi (Lilford's wall lizard) is the source of this 77-nucleotide non-coding RNA. Lineage: Eukaryota; Metazoa; Chordata; Lepidosauria; Squamata; Lacertidae. The record is from the annotation of a GenBank genome assembly.